GUAGGUAGGAACUAAUCGCUUAUUUCAGACAUUUUCCGAUUGCUCUUUUCUUGUUUCAUGAAUUUUUGUACCGUUGCGGCGUUUUGACGGUUCUAGUCGCAGAUUGUGGUUCCGGAAUUUGCUGCCAGGUGACAAGGGCCUGCCCUUAAACUCCCGAUAAAGCGCUCGCGUCUUAUCGGGAGGUUAGGGAUUCAGUGUAAAGCACGCGGAACGUAAGACCUCGCAAGAUUUUCUCGCGGGGAAAGACGAUUCGGUAGCGAAUCUGGACCCGCUGACGCCGGGAUCCGUUCAUGACAAAGAGGCGCGUCGUGGAUGAACUUUUUAAAAUGAUACUAUACUUUCCCGAGUGAUUGUUUCGGAACGAAAAUCAUCUGGGUUAAUAUAAAUGUGUUGUGCAGUGUCGGUAGAUUGGGCGGAUAUAAACUGGAUUUUCGGUGGGUGGCAAAAUCGGGCACGCCCGCUCGAUCGGUUUAGGUCCAAAUUCGACUCGUCGGAAAAUAUUAGGGUUGGGGAUGAAAUUUUUCGCUUUCGACGUAAUCUUUUUACCUAUUUUUCAGUAUACUUCAGAAGGGUAAUACGUAUAUUCCAAAAUACCUAUAAUUCCUCGAUUUUUUUUAAAUACUCCUCGUGUGCGACGUUAUCGCCUUUGAGAUUGAUUGAUAAAAUACAUGAACUACAAUAUUAAUACCAUUGAUUCUUUGUCUCGCUGACGCUUCGGUAAACAAGCUGCAGACUUUUUCAGUGCGCUGUCUGAAACCGCAGAUGGCCGAAUCCUAAUUGGGAUGCGAGAUAGUUGGUUGUUUAUGUUAUUAGCGUGUUCGUUAGACUUUCGAUUUUUUCUGGAAUACAAUAGACUGCUGUAUGAAAGAAUUUUGCCCUAGCACUUCCUUGUACCCAAGAAAAAUUCGAAAGUUUAUCUCAACACCCUAAUAACAUAAAUUGUCGACUUUAUCUCUUGUCCACUUUAUAAUAAUAAUGAACCGUACUCUAAUUUCGAGCGCAUUAUAACAGUUUUCAAGUCUGUUCCCUUGCGAAUUCUCUAGAAUUUCUCACUAAAGGUUACAUCUAGGUCUUUAAAAUUGUCACAUUUUCUUAAAAUGUUUGAAAAUGUCAUUGCGAAACAUUUAUCUGUAUUCGGGGUAUAUUAUUAGAAGCACUCCAAGAACCAAUAAUCUCCAAUUCAUUCUGUAGAGGCACACAAUCGGCCACACUAUCAAUUCUUCUAAAUAAUUUCACAUCAUCAGCAAGGACCAUCAAUGUCAGCUAUUAUGUCAUUAAUGAAAUUAAAGAUUAUGAAUGGCGCUAAAUUGCUACCCUGGGGAACGCCGCUACUAGCCAUGAACCUAAGCGACGACUAACCGCUGUAUUCUGUUAUGCACAUAUGACUUUAUGAAUGCCACAAGAUAAUCACAACAUCCAAGCAUACUCAGUUUAGAGAGGGUUCAAAGGCUUUUGAAAAAUCCGUAUAUAGCACAUCCAUCCACCUCCCGUCAUCCACAGUUUUAGCAGUGAAUUCUGUAAAGCAAGCUAAAUUACUGAUGAUGCUUCGACCUUUAAAGAAACCAUUAUGUUUGUGGGUUACCAAGUGUUUCAUUUGGUUGAAAAUACUACAUCUCGAAAGCCUUCGCAAAAGCCGAUAUUAUCGAUACUUUUCCCCUCUUUAUAACGGGAAUAAUUCUAGCCUCCUUCCAGACAUCUAGGAAGGUGUUUGUUGCUAGGGCUAAGUUAAAAAAAGCAUGUGCGCAAUCUCGCACAAUCAAACAAGGAUCACAAGAUUUUUUUUUAACUUGUGCCAAUGCUCGUAAUAUAGUGUCUUCAGUUAAGUGAUUGAUAGUAAUAAAUGCAUUAGAAACUGUUGUUGAGGAGUCUUGUAUUCCACCCAAAAACUCUAGCAAAAGCAUUAACAAGAUUUUCAUUUUCCCAGUAAGUGAAAAUCUCUAUGGCAAUGCCGUAUUUGAACGCUUAGAUCUAAUAAACGACCAGAAAGAACUCGGAUCUUCUGUGUCUGCAUUUUCGGCCUUAAAGAUGUAGUUUCUAUAUGCCACAUCAAUAAUUCUUUUAAUAUGCGCAUGUAUUAUUUGUAUUGUAUUAAAACUGACUCUGAUCUGUUGUA
Cylas formicarius (sweet potato weevil) is the source of this 2113-nucleotide long non-coding RNA. RefSeq lists it as uncharacterized. Lineage: Eukaryota; Metazoa; Arthropoda; Insecta; Coleoptera; Brentidae. The transcript has 3 exons. The record is from RefSeq and is a predicted model, not a curated record.